GUGGGGAAUAUUGGACAAUGGGCGAAAGCCUGAUCCAGCAAUGCCGCGUGCAGGAAGAAGGCCUUCGGGUUGUAAACUGCUUUUGUACGGAACGAAACGGUCCGGGUUAAUACCCUGGGCUAAUGACGGUACCGUAAGAAUAAGCACCGGCUAACUACGUGCCAGCAGCCGCGGUAAUACGUAGGGUGCAAGCGUUAAUCGGAAUUACUGGGCGUAAAGCGUGCGCAGGCGGUUUUGUAAGACAGGCGUGAAAUCCCCGGGCUCAACCUGGGAAUUGCGCUUGUGACUGCAAGGCUGGAGUGCGGCAGAGGGGGAUGGAAUUCCGCGUGUAGCAGUGAAAUGCGUAGAUAUGCGGAGGAACACCGAUGGCGAAGGCAAUCCCCUGGGCCUGCACUGACGCUCAUGCACGAAAGCGUGGGGAGCAAACAGGAUUAGAAACCCGUGUAGUCC
Molecule: ribosomal RNA, 450 nt
Filed under: uncultured bacterium
Lineage: Bacteria
Description: partial 16S ribosomal RNA
Rfam family: Bacterial small subunit ribosomal RNA
Source: RNAcentral